UAAAAGUGAGAUGGAUUGAUUGCUUACUUU
This 30-nucleotide non-coding RNA is filed under the name Mus musculus (house mouse). The record is from RNAcentral. Lineage: Eukaryota; Metazoa; Chordata; Mammalia; Rodentia; Muridae.